GAUGAACGCUGGCGGCGUGCCUAAUACAUGCAAGUCGAGCGAACAGACGAGGAGCUUGCUCCUUUGACGUUAGCGGCGGACGGGUGAGUAACACGUGGAUAACCUACCUAUAAGACUGGGAUAACUUCGGGAAACCGGAGCUAAUACCGGAUAAUAUAUUGAACCGCAUGGUUCAAUAGUGAAAGACGGUUUUGCUGUCACUUAUAGAUGGAUCCGCGCCGCAUUAGCUAGUUGGUAAGGUAACGGCUUACCAAGGCAACGAUGCGUAGCCGACCUGAGAGGGUGAUCGGCCACACUGGAACUGAGACACGGUCCAGACUCCUACGGGAGGCAGCAGUAGGGAAUCUUCCGCAAUGGGCGAAAGCCUGACGGAGCAACGCCGCGUGAGUGAUGAAGGUCUUCGGAUCGUAAAACUCUGUUAUUAGGGAAGAACAAAUGUGUAAGUAACUAUGCACGUCUUGACGGUACCUAAUCAGAAAGCCAAGGCUAACUACGUG
This 497-nucleotide ribosomal RNA is filed under the name uncultured bacterium. RNAcentral's name for it is "partial 16S ribosomal RNA". It matches the Rfam family "Bacterial small subunit ribosomal RNA", at positions 28 to 507 of the family's 1533-position model. The record is from RNAcentral.